CAGUAGCCGCGGGAAUACGAAGGGGGCUAGCGUUGUUCGGAAUUACUGGGCGUAAAGGGCGCGUAGGCGGCCAUUCAAGUUAGAUGUGAAAGCCCUGGGCUCAACCUAGGAAUUGCAUUUGAUACUGUUUGGCUUGAGUUCGGGAGAGGUGAGUGGAAUUCCCAGUGUAGAGGUGAAAUUCGUAGAUAUUGGGAAGAACACCAGUGGCGAAGGCGGCUCACUGGACCGACACUGACGCUGAGGCGCGAAAGCGUGGGGAGCAAACAGGAUUAGAUACCCCAGUAGUCCCUGUUUCUUAUAC
RNAcentral lists this ribosomal RNA (301 nucleotides) under uncultured bacterium. Its description in RNAcentral is "partial 16S ribosomal RNA". It matches the Rfam family "Bacterial small subunit ribosomal RNA", at positions 509 to 807 of the family's 1533-position model. The record is from RNAcentral.